Molecule: ribosomal RNA, 444 nt
Filed under: uncultured bacterium
Lineage: Bacteria
Description: partial 16S ribosomal RNA
Rfam family: Bacterial small subunit ribosomal RNA
Source: RNAcentral
CCUACGGGAGGCUGCAGUGGGGAAUAUUGGGCAAUGGAGGCAACUCUUACCCAGCAAUGCCGCGUGAAUGAAGAAGGUCUUCGGAUUGUAAAGUCCUUUAAUUGGGGACGAAAAAACUGACGGUACCCAAGGAAUAAGCUCCGGCUAACUACGUGAUAGCAGCCGAGGGAAAACGCAGGGGGCAAGCGAUGUACGGAAUGACUGUGCGGAAAGGGUGUGUAGGCGGUGUAGCAAGUGUGAGGUGAAAUACCUAGUGCUUAACUCACGUGCUGCAUCUAAAACUGCUGUACUUGAGUGCAGUAGAGGAAUGUGGAAUGCGUAGUGUAGCGGUGGAAUGCAUAGAUAUUAGGAGGAACAUCGGUGGCGAAGGCGGCAUUCUGGACUGUAACUGACGCUGAGGCACGAAAGUGUGGGGAGCGAACAGGAUUAGAUACCCGAGUAGUC